AUUGAACGCUGGCGGCAGGCCUAACACAUGCAAGUCGAGCGGCAGCGGGAAAGUAGCUUGCUACUUUUGCCGGCGAGCGGCGGACGGGUGAGUAAUGCCUGGGAAAUUGCCCAGUCGAGGGGGAUAACAGUUGGAAACGACUGCUAAUACCGCAUACGCCCUGCGGGGGAAAGCAGGGGACCUUCGGGCCUUGCGCGAUUGGAUAUGCCCAGGUGGGAUUAGCUAGUUGGUGAGGUAAUGGCACAACAAGGCCACCACCCCUAGCGGGUCUGAAAUGAUGAUCAGCUAUUCUGGAACUGAGACGCGGUCCAAACUCCUGCGGGAGGCUGCAGUGGGGAACAUUGGGGAAUGGGGGAAACCUUGAUCCCCCGUUGGCGGGUGGGCGAUGAAAGCUUAAGGUUGUUUCCUGCUUUCAGCUAGUUGUAAAGGGGUCUUGCU
This 438-nucleotide ribosomal RNA is filed under the name uncultured Streptococcus sp. Its description in RNAcentral is "bacterial SSU rRNA". It matches the Rfam family "Bacterial small subunit ribosomal RNA", at positions 30 to 461 of the family's 1533-position model. The record is from RNAcentral. Lineage: Bacteria; Bacillati; Bacillota; Bacilli; Lactobacillales; Streptococcaceae.